AUACGUAGGGGGCGAGCGUUGUCCGGAAUGAUUGGGCGUAAAGGGCGCGUAGGCGGCCUGUUAAGUCUGGAGUGAAAGUCCUGUUUUCAAGAUGGGAAUUGCUUUGGAUACUGAUGGGCUUGAGUGCAGGAGAGGUUAUCGGAAUUCCCGGUGUAGCGGUGAAAUGCGUAGAGAUCGGGAGGAACACCAGUGGCGAAGGCGGGUAACUGGACUGCAACUGACGCUGAGGCGCGAAAGUGUGGGGAGCAAACAGGAUUAGAUACCCUGGUAGUCCACACUGUAAACGAUGAAUGCUAGGUGUAAGAGGUAUCGACCCCUUUUGUGCCGGAGUCAACACAAUAAGCAUUCCGCCUGGGGAGUACGGCCGCAAGGUUGAAACUCAAAGGAAUUGGCGGGG
Molecule: ribosomal RNA, 397 nt
Filed under: uncultured bacterium
Lineage: Bacteria
Description: partial 16S ribosomal RNA
Rfam family: Bacterial small subunit ribosomal RNA
Source: RNAcentral